UACGGAGGGUGCAAACGUUGCUCGGAAUCAUUGGGCGUAAAGCGCGUGUAGGCGGUCUGUAAAGUCGGGUGUGAAAGCCCCGGGCUCAACCCGGGAAGUGCACUCGAAACUCACAGGCUAGAGUAUCGGAGAGGUUGGUGGAAUUCUCGGUGUAGAGGUGAAAUUCGUAGAUAUCGAGAGGAACACCGGUGGCGAAGGCGGCCAACUGGACGAAUACUGACGCUGAGACUCGAAAGCGUGGGGAGCAAACAGG
This 253-nucleotide ribosomal RNA is filed under the name uncultured bacterium. Its description in RNAcentral is "partial 16S ribosomal RNA". It matches the Rfam family "Bacterial small subunit ribosomal RNA", at positions 524 to 776 of the family's 1533-position model. The record is from RNAcentral.